GCUAUAGUUUUUCUUGAAACUCUUCAAAAGAUAUACACCUCUCUUUUUCUAGUUUCCAAACUUAGUGAAGCACUGAAGCCCCCAUACCCAGUAGCCCAACCUCAAAGUUUCAAUUUAAGUGCACUGUACCCCUCUCUUAUCCUGACAUGUAAUUUCACCACUGAAAAUUGCAAAGAAGGAUUAUGUUCCAAUUUUAAGACCCCAUUACUUAAUGGCACGUUUUACAAUAUUUUAUUGCAAGUUGAAAUCCAGAACAAGAAAUGGCAACUUGUGGGAAGCAGAUCUCACAGCAAACAACUAGCUUUGCGGCACUUGCUCUUCUUAGCUAAAGCUAAACUGGUAAACCUUUGCACGCUGACACGAGAAGCAAACUCCACACUUCUGCAGCAGAAAAUUGAAAAAAAAUGGCAGCAAUGGCCUUGAAAAUUACAAUAAGCUCUAAUCCCAAUACCAACGGCGUACUUGCACCUCCUCCGAACAAGCUACAUGCUCAUCUUUUACCCUCAAAUCAAAAGAGUUUUGGCCGCAGACUCCUUGGGAGUAUACCUCUAUCAUUGAAACGAAGUAAAAGGAAUUGGCAUGCGCCACUUCGAGUAUCGAGUAGUCAGGCUUCUGCGUCUAACUCCUUUGAUGUUGUCAUAAUUGGUGCCGGAAUCAUUGGGUUGACCAUCGCCCGCCACUUGCUCCUUUCCUCUGACCUCUCCGUCGCCCUAGUUGAUGCUGCUGUUCCUUGCUCGGGCGCAACUGGAGCAGGUCAAGGAUACAUAUGGAAGGCACACAAAUCACCAGGUACUGUUAAAUGGGAAUUAAUGAUGAGAAGCCAUCAAUUAUGGGAGAGCCUAGCCAAGAGCAUUCAACUUCAAGGCAUGGAUCCUUUAGAGGUACUUGGCUGGAAGAAGACAGGAAGUCUUUUAGUUAGUAAAACAGCAGAUGAGUCAGCAAUGUUAAGAAUGAGGGUAGAGGAGCUAUCACAGGAGGGGCUGAGAGCAGAGUUCUUGUCCACCAAUGACUUGCUAUCAGAAGAACCAGAGCUUGUGCUUGAGAAGGAAGGUGGAGCAGCUUUUUUCCCUGAUGACUGCCAAUUGGAUGCUCACCGUACUGUUGCAUUUAUUGAGAAGGGUAACAGGCGUUUUGCUGUUGAAGGGAGAUAUGCUGAAUUUUAUCAUGACCCAGCUAUUGGAUUAGUUAGGCCUGGAAAUAGCUGCGAGGUUGGAGCUGUUCAAACUUCCAAGACUACAUUGCAUAGUAAGAAGGCUGUUGUAAUUGCAACAGGUUGUUGGACUGGGUCUUUGAUGCAUGACCUGAUUAAGCAACCAGAUAUCGAGCUCGAUCUUCCAAUAAAGCCUCGAAAGGGUCACCUGCUUGUGAUAGAGAAUUUCAAGUCGUUCAAGCUGAAUCAUGGAAUUAUGGAGGCAGGGUAUGUCAACCAUCAGUCAGCAACUCUCAAAGCUACUGCGUCUGAUUCAGGGCCUGUCUAUAAUGCACAAGAUCUGUCUGUUUCAAUGACAGCAACCAUGGAUGCAUCAGGCAGUCUUGUCCUUGGGAGUAGCCGACAGCUUGUUGGGUUUAACACAGAGGUUGAUGAAUCUGUCAUCAAUCACAUAUGGCAGCGGGUUGGGGAGUUCUUACCUGCUUUAAGAAAAGAGUCGCUUGAGGAUUUGCGUCAAAGCGGAGAAAUUAGAGUAGGAUUGAGACCUUACAUUCCGGACGGAAAGCCUGUCAUUGGGCUUGUUCCUGGAUUUUCGAAUGUAUUUCUUGCUGCCGGGCAUGAAGGAGAAGGACUGUCGCUGGCUCUAGGAACAGCUGAAAUGAUUGCUGAUAUGGUAUUGACCAAUCCUUGUAAAGUUGAUCCAGCACCUUUUGCGCUGCUAGGCCGGUGCUUCCGCUGAGCAGUGAGCCCAAUGCAAGGAUUGAACACUUAUGAAGCCUAAAUUUAAAAGCUUAACAGUCUCAAGAUGACAAAAGCUCCUGGAAGUCCAAAAUCUCGGUCAACCUCGAAUGUCAAUUCAUACUGAAAACCUCUGUUACCGUUAGGCUUCUUGUGGAUACGUUUCCCAUGAUUCAGGUACGCUUCUUGACUCAGCUUCCCUUCCCCCGUACCUAUCAAAAGGGAAGAAGGAAAAGAAGCAAAUCUAUUGUAAAUUAUGAAAGAAAAACUAGUAAUCAUAGUGUCUAUAUAUCAAGUUGGCUUACUUGGGUCAAUUUUAGAGAGACUGUAUAGUUGAAUACGGAUAGCUUUUCCAAGGCUUGAUUUUGCAGGGCAAUGUUGAAUGAUGAUUUCUCCUUUAA
Molecule: RNA transcript, 2289 nt
Organism: Nicotiana attenuata
Lineage: Eukaryota; Viridiplantae; Streptophyta; Magnoliopsida; Solanales; Solanaceae
Gene name: glycine oxidase
Exons: 10
Source: RefSeq, a predicted model, not a curated record